GGCAUGGUGGCUCAGUGGUUAGAGCGCCCGUCUCAUGAACGGGAGGUCGUGAGUUCGAACCCCGGCCGAGUCA
Molecule: transfer RNA, 73 nt
Filed under: Strongylocentrotus purpuratus (purple sea urchin)
Lineage: Eukaryota; Metazoa; Echinodermata; Echinoidea; Camarodonta; Strongylocentrotidae
Rfam family: tRNA
About the family: Transfer RNA (tRNA) molecules are approximately 80 nucleotides in length. Their secondary structure includes four short double-helical elements and three loops (D, anti-codon, and T loops). Further hydrogen bonds mediate the characteristic L-shaped molecular structure. tRNAs have two regions of fundamental functional importance: the anti-codon, which is responsible for specific mRNA codon recognition, and the 3' end, to which the tRNAs corresponding amino acid is attached (by aminoacyl-tRNA synthetases). tRNAs cope with the degeneracy of the genetic code in two manners: having more than one tRNA (with a specific anti-codon) for a particular amino acid; and 'wobble' base-pairing, i.e. permitting non-standard base-pairing at the 3rd anti-codon position.
Source: Rfam by way of RNAcentral